RNAcentral lists this ribosomal RNA (837 nucleotides) under fungal sp. 1 SS-2016. RNAcentral describes it as "eukaryotic LSU rRNA". The stretch from base 354 to 508 matches the Rfam family "5.8S ribosomal RNA". The record is from RNAcentral. Lineage: Eukaryota; Fungi.
CUUGGUCAUUUAGAGGAAGUAAAAGUCGUAACAAGGUUUCCGUAGGUGAACCUGCGGAAGGAUCAUUACCGAACUGUCGACACGAGUUGUUGCUGGUCCUCAAGUGUGGGGACACUUGGCUCAUUUAGAGGAAGUAAAAGUCGUAACAAGGUCUCCGUUGGGGAACCAGGGGAGGAUCAUUACCGAGUUGCAGAACUCCCWAACCCAUGUGAAUAUACCCGUUACGGGWGMUUGGGUGGGGGGACGCAGGGCGGGGCCGUUGCCUCCCCGUUGCGGAGGUGCUCGCCAGAAGCCCAACCACAACACGUCUUGUGYUAGCAGGGCAUUUCUGAGUAAAACAUGUAAUAAGUCAAAACUUUAAUCAUCGGAUCUCUUGGUUCUGGCAGCGACGAAGAACGCAUCGAAAUGCGAUAAGUAAUGUGAAUUGCAGAAUUCAUUGAAUCAUCGAAUCUUUGAACGCAGCAUUGCGCCCGCCAGUGUUCUGGCGGGCAUGCCUGUUCGAGCGUCAUUUCAACCCUCAAGCCAUGCUUGGGGUUGGGGCCCUACGGGCUCCGUACGCCCGGAAAACUAGUGGCGGGCUCGCAAUAACUCCGASAGGAGGACAAGUAUCUCGCUCCGGAAGUGUGGAGGGCUCUUCCCGUGURAGSSCCAUCUCACAAAAGGUAGACCUCUGAUCACGUGGGAUUACCCGCUGAACUUACUCCUAUCAUUAAACGGAGGAACACUGGGGCUCACAAAAGGUGCCUCUCUUCCAUGAGGAGGGAUGGCUCUUUGAACGUUUGAUCUCAAAUCAGGUAGGACUACCCGCUGAACUUAAGCAUAUCAAUAAGCGGAGGA